Molecule: ribosomal RNA, 728 nt
Filed under: uncultured Enterobacterales bacterium
Lineage: Bacteria; Pseudomonadati; Pseudomonadota; Gammaproteobacteria; Enterobacterales
Description: bacterial SSU rRNA
Rfam family: Bacterial small subunit ribosomal RNA
Source: RNAcentral
GCAAGUCGAACGGUAGCACAGAGUGCUUGCUCUCGGGUGACGAGUGGCGGACGGGUGAGUAAUGUCUGGGAAACUGCCUGAUGGAGGGGGAUAACUACUGGAAACGGUAGCUAAUACCGCAUAACGUCGCAAGACCAAAGAGGGGGACCUUCGGGCCUCUUGCCAUCAGAUGUGCCCAGAUGGGAUUAGCUAGUAGGUGGGGUAACGGCUCACCUAGGCGACGAUCCCUAGCUGGUCUGAGAGGAUGACCAGCCACACUGGAACUGAGACACGGUCCAGACUCCUACGGGAGGCAGCAGUGGGGAAUAUUGCACAAUGGGCGCAAGCCUGAUGCAGCCAUGCCGCGUGUAUGAAGAAGGCCUUCGGGUUGUAAAGUACUUUCAGCGGGGAGGAAGGUGUUGUGGUUAAUAACCGCAGCAAUUGACGUUACCCGCAGAAGAAGCACCGGCUAACUCCGUGCCAGCAGCCGCGGUAAUACGGAGGGUGCAAGCGUUAAUCGGAAUUACUGGGCGUAAAGCGCACGCAGGCGGUCUGUCAAGUCGGAUGUGAAAUCCCCGGGCUCAACCUGGGAACUGCAUUCGAAACUGGCAGGCUAGAGUCUUGUAGAGGGGGGUAGAAUUCCAGGUGUAGCGGUGAAAUGCGUAGAGAUCUGGAGGAAUACCGGUGGCGAAGGCGGCCCCCUGGACAAAGACUGACGCUCAGGUGCGAAAGCGUGGGGAGCAAACAGG